GUUCACACUACUGGACACGUUCACGGUGACGUUUGAAAGUGUGAUUGUAAUGUUUUCAAGCCUGUAAACGUGCUUACAUGUUUAUUACUUCUUUACGCAUCGCUGACGACAGUUGAAACGUUUACAUGCAUCGCGUGCAUAAAUCUAUCGACAAGUAAUUGAUGUUUUUGCUCGAUUAUGUUACUCUUUACGAUGCAUUCAUGCUCAAUGGUACAUAAACGAUUCAAUUCAAGAACCAUGGAUAUUCAUCUAGGAAAAUAUUUCACUUUUUUUUUAUGAAGGUAAUAUGUAUUGAGAUUUUUUAACGAUGAUAGAAAUAAAUGAAUAUUAAACAAAAAAGAUUUGAAUAAAUUUAAAAAAUAAUAUAACAAUAAUGAAUUAAAUAAAAAUAAAAUAAUCAAUAAAAAUGAAUGAUAAAUUAAUAAGAUUGAAAAAAUAUAUUUUUAUCUAUUAUAAGAUGAAGAAAAAUAUUGUAUAUUUAAUCUUUGCAUAAUUUCAUAUUAUUAUAAUGAAUCUGUCAAUGCAUUUAUGAAACUCAAAAACAAAAAUAAACCAAAAAAUGAAUAUUCUUACUGAUUAUAAAUAUUUUGAUUUUGAAUUUAUAUUCCAUAUUUUAUUUUAUAUUAAUUUUUUUUAAAAAUUAAUAAAAAUGUGAAGAACUUUCUUCAAGCUCUUCUGAUUGAAAUCUUAGUGACAAAAACUUAAAAAAAAAAAAAGAAAUAUUAACUGAUGAUCAGUUUUCGAGUUAUUUACAAAAAAAAAGUAUUAUAUUAUUUAAUCUAUAUUCUUGUACAUCUAUAUAUUAGUAUGAUACUAUUUAUAAUAAUAAACUUUUUAUUAUAUAAAAGAAAAAGUUAUACUUUACAAUAUAUUUUUCAUUAAAAUCGAAGAAGAAAAAACUAAUUGAAGGAUUUACUAAAUAGCUGUAAUGAAUGGAUAAAAUGAAGUGAAUUAUUAAUGAAUUGCAGAUAGAAUAUCUUAUAGAUAUUAAGGCUAAUGUAGAUAUCAUUAGACAACUUUUAUUAGUGAAGAUUCUUGUAUUAGUAUCUGGAUAAAUAACAUUUAAUGUAUUAGUACCAUUUGUACACGCAACUUUCAAUAUAUAAUACUAAUUUCUUAUUAAUAUUUUAGAAAUUAAUAAAUAUUUUGAGUUAAAAUUUUAGAUGUAAAUUUCCCUUUUAUCUCUCCAAGUUUCAUGUUCAUCGGGAACUUUAUCCAAAGUAAUAAAUAGAACAGCAAGGAUCGUUUGAUAUACUUGAUCCUGAAAUCACCGUAUAACUUUUCUGUUAUUCAACGAAUACGAGUUGACCAGUCGAUAAAUAUCCAACUUUAGAGCAAAUUCCUGGCACCUAGUUAUCUGUGAGUGUGAAAAGCCAAUCUCGAAAGAUUUUUUUUCAAUGGCAUGCCGACCGAAGCAAAGGAUAAGAGAUCACAAAUCGAAAAAGGUUCCAGUUACAGCCGGGAUCAAGGGAAGAAAUUAAAUUUGGAGUUUUAUAAUGCUGCAUAACAUUCCUGAAACGCGAAACGAUACACGUUCGAUGUUGAUUCGAGUGAUAAAGUGAUGAAAAAAAAAAAGAAAGAAAGAAAGAAAGAAAGACCGCCAAAGACCGAACACAGACGUUCAACUUCGUAUUACAAGAGAAUCGAGGCGCCACGAGUAAAUUCCGAAUUUGAGAGGACCACGUGAGAACACGAGACCGUUAACUGGAUUCCGCUAACCGAGUGUAUUUUUUAUCUUUCAGAGAUACAUUUAAGUACCAGCCGACGCAUGCCUCAGAUAAAAUUCACGACAUUGCGAAUAUUACAAAGUACCAAAAACUAUUUUAUCAAUUUAAACAUUCUAGAAAUGUAUAAGAUCGAUUAUAGAUCGUAUUGAGAAUAUCUUGGACAUCAUUAAAUAUACAUAUAUCUAAUUGCACUGAUAAAGCAGGAAGUUUUGAAUAUCCUUCGAAGUUGCAAAUACCGUAUAAAUAUAACUGUGUGACGCUAUGGCCAAAAAUAUCACACGACUGUGUUAAUAUCGCAACCAAACGGCGAUGAAUGUGCACAUGUAUGUAUAUGUACGUAUGUAUGUAUGUAAAUGUCCACGUACGAUGUGAUGAGAACGUUUUCGCGAGGCACAGAGACGGUCGAACGAUCAUCUUGAGUCUCGAAUUAAAAAGCGUCCUGCUAUUCAUAAACUGUGGUUGAUGUGGUUUCAGCCACCCACGAUUUUCUCUGAUCGUAGUAGCCAUUCAUUAUUUCAACGCUAUUCUAGAAAUAAUAAUAAUAGAAGCAAGAUGAACGUUCUCUAACGAUCAAGUAGGAAAUCAAUGUCGAUUCAUGCGUGGGAUUCCUUCGUGUGGGCUGCCUUUCAAACAUUUCCACUUUAAAAACAAACUUUUUCAAUCCAUCCGCUUCGUGAGAAACUUUGAUCAAUCUUUUCUGAUUAUUUUUUAAUGCGUUAAUUAAAUCUAGAAUUAUUAUGAGAUGUCCGUUCUUUUAAUGUGCUGCCAUCUACGUACGUCUGAUUGGCUGUUAGAAAACAAACGAGUAAUGGUAGACAUACUAGCGCAGUAUAUGACUUCAGGUAAAGAAACGACAACGUCUCGUGUGAUUCACGCGACGUGUCUGCCUGACUGCUCACAACGAAGCCCGCGACCUAUCAAUAGCUUCUCAUAUACACUGAAGAGAGACUGUCAUUUCACUGAAGACUAAAAAUAGAGUUCACGCGUUCGUCCACAAGCCAUUGGGACCAAGCAAUUCUGUAUCAGUUUUCUCUCUUUCUUUGGAUCAUACUUUCUUCAUCUAUCUUUUCAUCUUAUAUUUCGAUUCCUUCUUUUUUUUUUUUUCUAAUCACUAUUUGGAUCACAAAUUAGUUAUAUCUCAAACUGUUAAUACAUAUCAUUCAUUCUAAUACAUAAUUUACGCGUAAAAAUAAAAUUUUAUUUUUCCGGAUAUAAAUUUUUUUUUUGUAUAAUUAAUAUUUAAUUAUUAAAAUAUUUAAUUUUUUUUAUUUGACGAAUAAAUUCCACAAUUUUAAAAAUUCAUGGUUGAAAAUUAUGUUUAAACAAAAUCAAUAUUGAUUUUGUUACAAAGCACUCAAAGAACAGGAUUAAUAAAACGAAAAUAAUUUUCAGGCAUUGUAAAUUAAACCAAGUUUAAUUUCAAUAAAUAAAUAUUUAAUUAGCAAUUGAUAUCGUAUUUAGAAUGCACACGAAAAAUUAAAAAUUUGCAUUACUAUAGCUCAUUUGUUUAAUCAUCGACUCAUCUCAAUAUACAUAUGUCAUUAAUAUGUAUUUAAACAUGCAUGAUUUUCGAUCUUAUGCAUUCUUAAGAUUAAAAUUAUGAUUUUUGAAAUGUACUCGUCAAGUUCUACCAAAAUGUCAAAAUUAUAUAAAAAUAUUUUGAUAUUUUUACAUCCAAAGAAUUCCAUAUACAUGAAAUAAUAUGAAUAUAAUUCAUUAAAUCAUUUUUUAAAAAAAAUCAAGUUUUGAAUAUGUCUACAUUUACUUUUGACGCUCAAUCGAAUGAUAUUAAUAAGAGAAAAUUUUCAAAUUUAAUUUGUAAUUAAUGAACAUCACGAUAGACUUAACAAUUUAAUAAUUUUCCAAUAACAAAUUUUUCUAUUUAAAAUUGCAUAAAUGAAUUCAUGUUGAUAAUACAAAAUUAUUUUAUAUAAAAAUAUAAUAAAAAAUAACAUAAUUAUAAAAAAAUUAAGAGAUAUUAAAAUUUUUUGUCACACAGUAAAACUUCAUUUUUGUUAAACAUGAAUAUAAUUCAGUUAAUAAACGCUAUCAAUAUAUGUAUGAAAUAAAUUUAUUCCAAAAAAAUAUUAUUUUUUUAAAUAUUUGAUAUUUGAUAUGUUUUAAGGUAAAUUAUUAAAUUAACAAAAAAGAACGUAAAAAUACAACGUCUGACAUGGUGUAAUAGGCAAAUAUGUUGCCAGUCAAGGACAGAGUUUAUGAAGAUUGGCUAAAUUAAAGUCCAUUGGGACCAGUCCAGUCGUUUUGUUUGAUAUAUAUUCGCGACAGAACUCGUUACUAUGAUAGAGAAUAUUAAUCGAAGGAGUGAGGACUUCGAAUCGUUUUAUAAUUGACCCCAAAUUUACUUUUACAUUCUUAACUCACAAUCAACUGUGCGACAGUCAAGUUAUUAAACCAAUGUUAUUAACCUCGUUACGACUUCGUCAGACUAAUUUUGGAUCCACCAUGGAAACUAUACAUACAUUGCCCUAAUUGUUAACAUCCUUUCGAUGAAUCACGUAAACAUAUUUGCUAUAUUUAAAAAUAAUAUAAUUCCUAAAUUUGUGAAAAUGAUUAAUCAUUUGUGAUUAAAUGUGACCGUUCGUUUGGUAAAUAUAAAUGAAAUAAACAUAUUUUUUCGCAUACACACCUUUCUAUAACUGCUAAUUUAUUUCUUUUUAUAUCCGUUAAUUGGCCACGUGUUUCGACAGAUGUCGCGCUUCAAGUCAGAUUUGUACACGCCAUCUACGUACGGAGUGUUUUCUUUAAUCGAGAACAGUGGAAUAUCUUUAUAUCCAAGGGAUUAAAAUUAUCAAAAAAAUAUUUUAAAAUUAUUUGAUUCGAAGUUAGAUAUCAUUGAUGUAAAUUAUUUUUUUUCUUCUGAAUUUUAACAAUAAGGGGUUGCAAUAUUUAAGUGAAAUCAAUAAUUUUUCGAUAAAUAAAUUGAUAUAUAAAUCGAUUAAUGCAUUCGAAGUUAAUUUAAAGAAACGAAACGAUGGCUUGACUUUAAAAAAGUAAUUUGCAGUUUAUAAUUUUAUCCUUUCGACAAAUAUGUUUUGUUAAAAUAUUUCUUUGAUUUGAAUUCUAACCUCUUAUGAAGUAUUUCAUUAUUCUCAUUUAAAAAAAAACAUGCUGCACAAUGUUUUGUCUUAAUUAAAGUCUCAUAAUAUGAAACAGAUUAAUCUAAAUUGAUAGAAUCAGAUGUGAACUUUGUGUUUUAAUUUGUGCAAUGUAAAUAACUUUGAAUAUUUGGAAAAAAAUUGAAUUCUUAUCUUCGUAAAAAUGCUAACACUUGUUUACAUACUUUGUUAACACGUGCUAUAAACACGAUUUAAAGCGUGAAAGAUGUAUAUAUAAAAUGGUGUAACAAUAUAUUUUAUCAUUUUCUUUUAGUA
Long non-coding RNA from Apis cerana (Asiatic honeybee), 5119 nucleotides. RefSeq lists it as uncharacterized. NCBI's taxonomy places the organism in Eukaryota, Metazoa, Arthropoda, Insecta, Hymenoptera, Apidae. The record is from RefSeq and is a predicted model, not a curated record.